CACCGCUGACGACCGGCGCACGGGUGCGUAACGCGUAUACAAUCUACCUUUUACAGGGGCAUAGCCCGGGGAAACCCGGAUUAAUAUCCCAUGGUAUCAUUUAGUGGCAUCACUUGAAUGAUUAAAGUUUCGGCGGUAAAAGAUGAGUAUGCGUUCUAUUAGCUAGAUGGUAAGGUAACGGCUUACCAUGGCUACGAUAGAUAGGGGUCCUGAGAGGGAGAUCCCCCACACUGGUACUGAGACACGGACCAGACUCCUACGGGAGGCAGCAGUGAGGAAUAUUGGACAAUGGGCGAGAGCCUGAUCCAGCCAUGCCGCGUGCAGGAAGACUGCCCUAUGGGUUGUAAACUGCUUUUAUACGGGAAGAAACACUCCCUCGUGAGGGAAUUUGACGGUACCGUACGAAUAAGGAUCGGCUAACUCCGUGCCAGCAGCCGCGGUAAUACGGAGGAUCCAAGCGUUAUCCGGAAUCAUUGGGUUUAAAGGGUCCGUAGGCGGGAUAAUAAGUCAGUGGUGAAAGUCUGCAGCUCAACUGUAGAACUGCCAUUGAUACUGUUGUCCUUGAGUAAUUAUGAAGUGGUUAGAAUAUGUAGUGUAGCGGUGAAAUGCAUAGAUAUUACAUAGAAUACCGAUUGCGAAGGCAGAUCACUAAUAAUUUACUGACGCUGAUGGACGAAAGCGUAGGUAGCGAACAGGAUUAGAUACCCUGGUAGUCUACGCCGUAAACGAUGGUUACUAGCUGUUUGGUCUAAUUGAGGACU
Molecule: ribosomal RNA, 761 nt
Filed under: Salinimicrobium gaetbulicola
Lineage: Bacteria; Pseudomonadati; Bacteroidota; Flavobacteriia; Flavobacteriales; Flavobacteriaceae
Description: bacterial SSU rRNA
Rfam family: Bacterial small subunit ribosomal RNA
Source: RNAcentral